ACAGUAGUUGAACUACUUAUAGGACCACUCUGCCACCAUAAGUCGAUCAGUACAAAAUAUUUUAUUGAAAUGUGUUAGAUUUUUGUUAUCAAUCUAUUUUUUAAUUUUAAUUGUACUAUUUUAUUUAUUUUGUUUAAUAUAACAAGGAUGUGGAGUCCGAACAGGGUGAAAUUUGGGUCAAAGGGAGGCAAUUUAUUAUACCCCUGUUUAACACCACAUACUUGAAAUUCCCUCAAUGUUAGGAUUUUCAUCUACUUGGAUAUUCAUGUUUGUACAUUUUUUUUUAAUAUCAGAUGUAUACUAGCUAAUAUUGACUAUUAUUUAGAGCUUUGUAAUAAAAAAAAAUAAAUGUAAGCAGAGCUCUAGAUAAUAAGUAUGCAGGGUGGGAGAAAUCUUGGGUCAUUAACAAUUGAUUUGCUGAAAUUUUCAAGAAAGGGGAUUUAUUGGAAAUGCAUCUGAUAUAUUUAAUGUAUAAAAUUAUAUUUAAAAAAAAAAAGAUGUUAAGAUGAUGAGGAGAGCCACCUUGUCAGCCGGGAGAGCAGCUCUAAGGGAGAUGGUCAAUUUAAUCUUCACCAAGUCUGAGGCUUUACCAUGAAAAAUAUGUGGUUGUUAUAAUGAUGAUGUUUUCAUGGUGUUGGGAGUAAGACUUGGAUGUCUGAUAUUGUUAACAUGUUGGUUACCAUCAGGUUUCCAUUGGGUUACUUGCUGGGAUAAAGCUGUUAUAAGUCGAAAGAGUUGCUGUUGCUGCCUUCCUUGUAUGGUAAAAUCCUCAGACUACAAUCCUGCAAACCAUUGGAUGAACUGUUGCUAUCUUUUGUAAAAAAAUCAGCAGAUAUUUGUCUUAUAAGCAGAAUGAAUUAUAAAUGCAAUUAAUUUUUAAUGCUUUAUUAUUCAAAUUAUAAAUAUUUACUUCAUUAUUUUUUCUUGCAUUCAAUUAUUGUUUUGUGAUUGAAGAAAAAUAAAAAAAAAAAAUGUGAAAUUAUUGUUAUUUGAGAGGUCCCAAAGGCAUGAUGUAUGGUUUCACAAG
Mytilus californianus (California mussel) is the source of this 1027-nucleotide long non-coding RNA. RefSeq lists it as uncharacterized. The transcript has 4 exons. The record is from RefSeq and is a predicted model, not a curated record. Lineage: Eukaryota; Metazoa; Mollusca; Bivalvia; Mytilida; Mytilidae.